CUUUUAAUGAAGCCUUGUCUGUAUUCAACAAGUUUUUCCCCAGUAUUCCGUCAAAGAAGAGAUCAAGAUCAGAAGGCUUUUCUAGUGAUAGGCCUAAUGCCUUGUUAUCAAGUGAUCGAUCAGUUCUGGGGCCAAGCCUAUGGGGAUUCAUAAUCAUGCUGUUACUGGUGGUGGUUUUGAACUUGAACAGCAGAAGUCAGAGGAGAGAACCAAAAAUGUUGU
Molecule: unclassified non-coding RNA, 222 nt
Filed under: Hevea brasiliensis (rubber tree)
Lineage: Eukaryota; Viridiplantae; Streptophyta; Magnoliopsida; Malpighiales; Euphorbiaceae
Source: RNAcentral